RNAcentral lists this ribosomal RNA (459 nucleotides) under uncultured bacterium. RNAcentral's name for it is "partial 16S ribosomal RNA". It matches the Rfam family "Bacterial small subunit ribosomal RNA", at positions 338 to 795 of the family's 1533-position model. The record is from RNAcentral.
CCUACGGGAGGCAGCAGUGAGGAAUAUUGGUCAAUGGUCGGGAGACUGAACCAGCCAAGCCGCGUGAGGGAGGAAGGUACAGAUUAUCGUAAACCUCUUUUGUCAGGGAACAAAUGCGGGGACGUGUCCCCGGAUGAGUGUACCUGAAGACAAAGCAUCGGCUAACUCCGUGCCAGCAGCCGCGGUAAUACGGAGGAGGCGAGCGUUAUCCUGAUUUAUUGGGUUUAAGGGGUGCGCAGGCGGUCUGUUAAGUCAGCGGUCAAAGCCCGGGGCUCAACCCCGCUCCGCCGUUGAAACUGGCAGUCUCGAGUUGGAUAGAAGUAUGCGGAAUGCGCGGUGUAGCGGUGAAAUGCAGAGAUAUCGCGCAGAACUCCGAUUGCGAAGGCAGCAUGCCGGCUCCACACGGACGCUGAGGCACGAAAGCGUGGGUAUCGAACAGGAUUAGAUACCCCAGUAGUC